Molecule: long non-coding RNA, 313 nt
Filed under: Homo sapiens (human)
Lineage: Eukaryota; Metazoa; Chordata; Mammalia; Primates; Hominidae
Description: non-protein coding lnc-ARHGAP6-4:1
Source: RNAcentral
CGCUUCCCUGCGACCGACUUUUCAUAGGCUGGGGGAGAAAAGGUUGAGAAACUUGACAUUGUCUCGAGCAGAGUGCGUGUAGCAACAGAUCAAAGAAAAAGAGGACGAAAACGUGCUCUUUGCUGCCCGUAGAUUUCGCCGGGUUGCUUUUGUCUUGCGGGCUCCUGUCGGGUUCGGUGUUUCCGCUCUGAAGACUGCGACGCGGGCUCCGAUGCAGCUCGCUCCCUGCCGGAUGGGUCAUGGGAUUCUAAACAUGAGGCAAUAGCUGAUCAGCUUCCUUGGGUUUUGCUGAUGACACAAGAGAGCUUUGCCU